RNAcentral lists this ribosomal RNA (482 nucleotides) under uncultured bacterium. Its description in RNAcentral is "partial 16S ribosomal RNA". It matches the Rfam family "Bacterial small subunit ribosomal RNA", at positions 30 to 507 of the family's 1533-position model. The record is from RNAcentral.
AUUGAACGCUGGCGGCAUGCCUUACACAUGCAAGUCGAACGGUAACAGGUCUUCUGAUGCUGACGAGUGGCGCACGGGUGAGUAAUACAUCGGAACGUGCCCAGACGUGGGGGAUAACGAGGCGAAAGCUUUGCUAAUACCGCAUACGAUCUAAGGAUGAAAGCAGGGGACCGCAAGGCCUUGUGCGUUUGGAGCGGCCGAUGGCAGAUUAGGUAGUUGGUGGGAUAAAAGCUUACCAAGCCGACGAUCUGUAGCUGGUCUGAGAGGACGACCAGCCACACUGGGACUGAGACACGGCCCAGACUCCUACGGGAGGCAGCAGUGGGGAAUGUUGGACAAUGGGCGAAAGCCUGAUCCAGCAAUGCCGCGUGCAGGAUGAAGGCCUUCGGGUUGUAAACUGCUUUUGUACGGAACGAAAAGGCUCUGGCUAAUACCUGGGGCACAUGACGGUACCGGAAGAAUAAGCACCGGCUAACUACGUG